RNAcentral lists this ribosomal RNA (533 nucleotides) under uncultured bacterium. Its description in RNAcentral is "bacterial SSU rRNA". It matches the Rfam family "Bacterial small subunit ribosomal RNA", at positions 777 to 1305 of the family's 1533-position model. The record is from RNAcentral.
AAUAGAUACCCUGGUAGUCCACGCUGUAAACGGUGGGUACUAGGUGUGGGGUCCAUUCCACGGGGUUCCGUGCCGUAGCUAACGCUUUAAGUACCCCGCCUGGGGAGUACGGCCCCAAGGCUAAAACUCAAAGGAAUUGACGGGGCCCCGCACAAGCGGCGGAGCAUGCGGAUUAAUUCGAUGCAACGCGUAGAACCUUACCUGGGUUUGACAUGGAUCGGGAGCGCUCAGAGGUGGGUGUGCCUCUUUUGGGGUCGGUUCACAGGUGGUGCAUGGCUGUCGUCAGCUCGUGUCGUGAGAUGUUAGGUUAAGUCCCGCAACGAGCGCAACCCUUGUUCACUGUUGCCAGCACGUUAUGGUGGGGACUCAGUGGAGACCGCCGGGGUCAACUCGGAGGAAGGUGGGGAUGACGUCAAGUCAUCAUGCCCCUUAUGUCCAGGGCUUCACGCAUGCUACAAUGGCUGGUACAGAGAGUGGCGAGCCUGUGAGGGUGAGCGAAUCUCGGAAAGCCGGUCUCAGUUCGGAGUUGGGGU